This 1741-nucleotide long non-coding RNA is filed under the name Mytilus galloprovincialis (Mediterranean mussel). Lineage: Eukaryota; Metazoa; Mollusca; Bivalvia; Mytilida; Mytilidae. The record is from RNAcentral.
CAGAGGAGGUCAGUGAGUAUCUCGGUGAUUUACAUUCGAUAAGGAAUCUUUCACGACAACAUGAAGACCACAUCCUUUUCCGAAUUAAUAAUAUGUAGCGUACUUUUAUUCUGUAUUUUACAGGUUUGUAUUUUUUUUAUAUAUAUAUUAACAAUUCUAAAUGGAUUUAAAAAAAAAUAUAUUUCUGUGCAGGCCUAUAAAUACAGGCGAUUUCUAAUGUUUGGCAUGAAUUAUCAUUGAUAUUGUCAUACUUAUAAAAUGACUGUUUACAAAACUUUGAAUUAAUUGAAAUAUUCAGAGUUUUCUAUCCCAGGAAAAGAUUACCUAAGAUGUAUUUGACAAAACCUUGCGGAAUAUUGCCCUUUCUUCGUUUUUCCUUUACGUUUUUUUGUAUUCGCACAAAACUGAUGAGUCUUCUGUAAACGAAACACGGUCUAUAGAAAAAAAUAUAUAAAGACGAUUAGUUUUAUACCAAAGGAUGUAGAAACCGAACGCCCCAAAAAUGGAAAGUAAUUACCAAUGACAACAACGUCACACAAAUGUUGACAUGCGUUUGGUUCCUUAGAACAUAUUUAGUAUACUUUCAGAAUGAGUCAAAAUACAGGACAGAUAACAAAUUGCGUAUCUUGGUGAACCUCUACGUACAAAUUUAAGGUUGAAUGAUAAUGUUCAUGUUGAGUUGACUUUGUUAUUCUACUGAUCAAAUGACUAUUAUAAAACUAUUAGAUGUUUGUAAGUGUACAUUACAGUACAAAUAAGAUAAUUAAGAUUUUGUUAAGUAGUUAACUUAAAAUUCCUGUUUGAAAUUUUCAUAGUAGAGGAUAAUUAUAACUUUCUUUCAUUUUAAUAGCAUUAAAGAUUUUAAAAUUGCCAUAUUUUUAAUAUCUAAAUUAUAAUUCUAAGGAAACCUUUUUAACCAGAAGGAAACUUUAGUCUUGUCCAGUGCACGAGGAGAUGAGGAGAUGUAUCAAUCCUCUCUUUUUUUAACCCAAAGAUUGUACUUUUUUCAUACAGAGAUAGAUACUUACCAUAACUGUGAAUGUAUUCAAACUUGUAAAUGAUGAUCAGCAAUUCAUACAUUUAUAUUUAUAGAAAAAGCUUUAUGAAUUCAAUGAUUUUUAUAAAUUUAUUUAGUCAGUUAACACAGCUGUGACAACUAGAACACCAACUACUCCAAAACCUACCAGGGAGCCAGAUGUAAACCAUGCGAUGUACUUUCACUACAACCAAAGGUCAAUAGAGGUAAGCAAAUGCUAAAUUAAAACCAAACGGCCCGAAAACACUCCCCAAAAUAAGUCUGUGAAACAUUCAGAUUUGUCACUAAAAAGGCGAGAAAACAAGAUCAUUUUAAAAAAUACUAUGAUUCGAAUGGUUGUAUUUGUGUAAUCUGCAUCUGAUUCUUAUUUUGAAUAUGAGUCCAAAUUUAUGUCAUAAAAAAGAUUGUCAUAAAAAGCGCUGACUUUAUUGGAAAAAUCUUUUCCAUUUUACAUAAUUUGUUAAUAAAAGCGCGCAUAUUGGCAGAGAAUGUCAAUGCAGUAAGAUGUUUGAAGGGUUAUUUGAAUUAUUUAAAAAAUGUAUAAUGUUUACUUACAUUUCCCCCCCCACGUUAUUGUAUAGAUGAUUUUUUUUAUUUUUAUAAAGCCUUUGCUGAUACUAAAGUUUGACUCACAUUACACUAAAGAUUGUUAUGUUAUGCCGCUAAGUCAUGAUGAUAUACAAACUAUACAGGAUCGCCUCGAUU